Molecule: non-coding RNA, 276 nt
Organism: Pimephales promelas (fathead minnow)
Lineage: Eukaryota; Metazoa; Chordata; Actinopteri; Cypriniformes; Leuciscidae
Source: RefSeq, a predicted model, not a curated record
UGGUGCAAGAAUGGACAUCUCAUCAUGGGAAUGCCGUCCAAAUCUGCAGCACACAAGAAGAGGAAGAAGACCUUUCAGCCGCAUCAGGAAAAAACAUCAUGCUUUAUGAAUGCCUCUGAUGUGGGUUGCAGUCUGCUGUGGGUUUCAUCAUCACAUAAUCGUCUACCAUAGACCUCACCAAAUAUGCUGAGAUUCAUAUGCUGGAGCUCUUGGGGGAAGAGAAAACCUGCACUGAUGACGGUGGCCGUCUGCAUGUCCCUCAGGAGUCUGUCCACG